UGACGUUAGCUCAGAGGUAGAGCAGCAGCCUCGCGGUUGCUGGCCGCCGGUUCGACUCCGGCACGUCAACCA
This 72-nucleotide transfer RNA is filed under the name Rhodanobacter sp. MP1X3. RNAcentral describes it as "tRNA-OTHER". It matches the Rfam family "tRNA". Rfam says of the family: Transfer RNA (tRNA) molecules are approximately 80 nucleotides in length. Their secondary structure includes four short double-helical elements and three loops (D, anti-codon, and T loops). The record is from RNAcentral. Lineage: Bacteria; Pseudomonadati; Pseudomonadota; Gammaproteobacteria; Lysobacterales; Rhodanobacteraceae.